RNAcentral lists this ribosomal RNA (242 nucleotides) under uncultured bacterium. RNAcentral describes it as "partial 16S ribosomal RNA". It matches the Rfam family "Bacterial small subunit ribosomal RNA", at positions 28 to 267 of the family's 1533-position model. The record is from RNAcentral.
GACGAACGCUGGCGGCGUGCUUAACACAUGCAAGUCGAGCGGUAAGGCCCUUUCGGGGGUACACGAGCGGCGAACGGGUGAGUAACACGUGGGUGACCUGCCCUCAGUUCUGGGAUAAGAAAACCUGGGAAACCGGGUCUAAUACUGGAUAUGACCUCAUGACGCAUGUUGUGGGGUGGAAAGCCUUGUGCGACUGAGGAUGGGCCCGCGGCCUAUCAGCUUGUUGGUGGGGUGAUGGCCUA